This 425-nucleotide ribosomal RNA is filed under the name uncultured prokaryote. RNAcentral describes it as "bacterial SSU rRNA". It matches the Rfam family "Bacterial small subunit ribosomal RNA", at positions 355 to 796 of the family's 1533-position model. The record is from RNAcentral.
UGGGGAAUAUUGCGCAAUGGGCGAAAGCCUGACGCAGCAACGCCGCGUGAGGGAUGACGGCUUUCGGGUUGUAAACCUCUUUCAGUGAUGACGAAAAUGACGGUAGUCACAGAAGAAGCCCCGGCCAACUACGUGCCAGCAGCCGCGGUAACACGUAGGGGGCGAGCGUUGUCCGGAUUUAUUGGGCGUAAAGAGCUCGUAGGCUGUUGCGUAAGUCGGAUGUGAAAACUCAGGGCUCAACCCUGAGACGCCAUCCGAUACUGCGCUGACUGGAGUCCGGUAGAGGAGCAUGGAAUUCCUGGUGUAGCGGUGAAAUGCGCAGAUAUCAGGAGGAACACCGGUAGCGAAGGCGGUGCUCUGGGCCGGUACUGACGCUGAGGAGCGAAAGCAUGGGUAGCAAACAGGAUUAGAUACCCCCGUAGUCC